GCAAGCACACAUUGCUGGUUCACAUGGAGCUUUUCAACCAUCAGCACCUCUUUAGGGCUGCUGUCUAUCCAUUUGUUGCCCAGACUGCCUUCAUGUUUGGGAUUGCCCCAGCCCAUAUACAGGACCCAGCACUUGGCCUUGUUGAACUUUGAGCAAGGCAGGUUUUUAACACCAUUUCACUCUCUGCAGCCAGGUAUGAGAACUCUAUUUUUAAAUUGCCCACAGAUGACUGAACAGAGACUUCUUAAUUUAGUCUGGAAGUUCUCUCUCACCAAAACUACAAUGAGAUGAAGCCUUUACUUGAUCCAUCCUCCUUCAGGCUGCCUGGGAGCAUCACUCCUGGAGCCAGAGCUGCAUGUAUGCAGAGUGGCACAGUUUCCACCUUGGAACAUUGGUUGUCUUUACUGGGACAUUGUGUCAAGCCAGCUAGGUGACAGCGCUACAGGGACAGGACCCAGGUGGCUGAGCAGCCAGUGGCUCAGGUCAAUCAUGUGCUGUGUCCCUGGAGCUGCCCCUAUUCACUCUAUGUUGGUCACAGGGAUUUGCUGGGAUCGUCUGGGGAGCAACUGUGAAGAAAAUAAUUCAGACCAGAUAUCUACACUUUCCCUUCCACCUCAUGAAGCCAGGGUGAGAAGGAGCACACACACGAGGGGAACCACGGGGAACCAAACGGAAAAACGAAAGUUUGCUGUCUGGUUUCACUGACUGAUCCUGCCAGCAUGCUGAGGAACAACAAAACAGCACAGAAAACAAAGUACUGGGCACUGAAAACUCUUUUGACUUUCAUGAUCCAAGGUGUUAUUAAUAAAAGAAGUCGGGAAUCUAUAGUCCUGAGCAUU
Oxyura jamaicensis (ruddy duck) is the source of this 839-nucleotide long non-coding RNA. RefSeq lists it as uncharacterized. The record is from RefSeq and is a predicted model, not a curated record. Lineage: Eukaryota; Metazoa; Chordata; Aves; Anseriformes; Anatidae. The transcript has 3 exons.